CCGAGUUAUACAACUCAUCAACCCUGUGAACAUACCUAUAACGUUGCCUCAGGCGGGAACAGACGGCCCCGUAACACGGGCCGCCCCCGCCAGAGGACCCCCUAACUCUGUUUCUAUAAUGUUUCUUCUGAGUAAACAAGCAAAUAAAUUA
RNAcentral lists this unclassified non-coding RNA (151 nucleotides) under soil metagenome. RNAcentral describes it as "partial internal transcribed spacer 1". The record is from RNAcentral.